Acanthosepion pharaonis is the source of this 106-nucleotide non-coding RNA. NCBI's taxonomy places the organism in Eukaryota, Metazoa, Mollusca, Cephalopoda, Sepiida, Sepiidae. The record is from the annotation of a GenBank genome assembly.
CAGUCAUAUCAUGUUGAAAUACCAGUUCUCAUAAGAUCACUGAAGUUAAGCAACAUUGAUCCUGGUCAGCAUCUAGAUGAGUGACCGCUUGGGAAUACCAGGUGCC